GAAUAUAGAUCCAACCCAUGAAACUCCAACAACUCUGUACUUUUUUAAUACACAACCCAUAUACCAAGGGUAGACCUCCAGCUACCCCUUUUGACAGUCAUGUGACUGCUCUUCUUUCAAGAUUCAAGAACUCAAGUGUCUUGAUGCUCUCUAACCCUCUCUUUCAACAACGAUUUGAGGCUUAGAAUUCUUAAUACUGGAAUUUUCUGCAGCUCUGUUGGUGUCAAUCUGAAGUAGCUUUUAACUGUUUCUUCCCAACUAAAGUCAGGCUUUCUUUGAAUCAAUCUGCCGAAGCGUUUGACUGUAUUUCUUAAAAAAAAGCUAGGCAAGCAUUUGAGGUUCAAAACUCUUAUAUACUAGCUUUUCCUGCUCUCUAAAUUGAUGGAUUAGUACCGCUUAGUGUCUGAUCAAAGAAACCCGUAAAAAGAGAGAGUUGUAUGCGGUAUUUGCUUCAAAAAAUGAAAAAAAUGGUUUUUCCAAAAACUCUGUUUCAAUCAAACUUCACUAAUGAAAAGAUUUUGAGUUUGUGAAGAAGUCUUUUGUCCUAUAGUUGGUGUGAGAAAUGGCUUACGCAGAUGUGGUUUCUCUCAUUCAAACUUUGAAGCAACUUAUGCAGCAAAAGCCACGUUGGGUUAUUGGUGAUACUAGAAAAAUGGUGGAAUCUCUCCUUGAUAGUGUUGGAUAUUUCCAAAAUUUUCUUGAGAAGAUUUACUUGAGAAGGCAAGUCUUUGGAAAAUCUGAAGAGUUGGAGAGAGCGAUUAGAAUUGCAGUGAACGACAUAGAGAAUGUGAUUGAACUGGAGAUAUAUGAAUAUAAUCAACUGGAGCUCUGUUCAAGAGUGGCAUUGCCACGCCAGCCUUUAUGUGACGACUUGCCUCCCCUCGUAGAAAAGAUUGAUACUGUGAAGAGGAAGACGAUGAAAAAUAGUUUUGCUACAAAUGAGGAUCUGCAACUGGGAGAUUCAUUGGUAGGUCAUUCAUCAUCUAGACGUGUUGAAAAUCUGAAUCUAGAAAAUGUUGUCGUGGGUCUUGAAGACGACUUGAUGAAAAUCAUGAGAAGACUAAUAGGGCCCCCCUCUAGUCGAGAAAUUGUCUCAAUUUUGGGCAUGGGGGGGAUUGGCAAGACGACUCUUGCUAAGAAAGCAUACCAUCAUCCUGAAAUCAGGAGUCGCUUUGACAUCCAUGUUUGGGUAACAAUAUCUCAAGAAUAUCUCACUAGAGAUUUGUGGCUGGGCAUUCUUUCCUGUAUUUCUCAGCUGAAAAAUGAGGUUCAAGAUGAGACUUAUCGGUUGGCGGUGAGAGAUGAGAUUAAUGAAAGUAGUGAUGAUCAGCUGAUGCAUAUGAUAUACAAAAAGUUAAUGCGUCGGAGGUAUCUUGUUAUCAUGGAUGAUAUUUGGAGUAAAGACAUAUGGGAUCUUAUGACAAGAAUUUUUCCAGAUGAUAACAAUGGGAGUCGCAUUAUUUUGACUAGCAGGCACAAAGAGGUUGCUGAGCAUGCAGAUCCUGAUAGCAAUCCUCAUGAGAUGAGCCUAUUGAAUACAGAUAAUAGUUGGAAGUUACUUCAUGACAAGGUGUUUGGGGUAGAACAUGCAUGUCCUCCUGAAUUAGAGGAUAUUGGAAAGCAAGUAGCGCAAAAGUGCCAAGGACUACCUUUAGCUCUUCUAGUGGUUGCAGGGCAUCUCUCCAAAAUUUCUAGAACACGCGAAUGUUGGGAUGAUGUUGCCAAAACUAUUAGUAAAAUUGUUGCUAGUGAGCCAGAUAAAUGUCUUGGAGUGCUUGGAAUGAGUUAUAGUUACUUGCCUAAUCACCUAAAAGCAUGCUUCCUUUCUAUGGGAGCAUUCCCAGAAGAUUUUGAGGUUUCCACUGAGAGACUAAUCCAGUUAUGGGUUGCUGAAGGUAUUCUAAGGAAUGAAAGGCUCAAAAGCUUGGAAGAAACGGGAAAACAGUCCUUGGAAGAUCUUAUUAGUAGGAACCUGAUAAUAGUUAGAAAAAGGAGAUUUAAUGGAGAGAUGAAAACAUGUGGAAUUCAUGAUCUGGUGCGCGACUUGAUUCUAAGACAAGCUGAGAAAGAGAAGUUCUUGCAGGUUACAAGGAAGCAUGAUGUCAUCAGAAGAUUCAAUGAUUCAGCUAGUAAGCCUCAUGUUUAUCGCUACAGUUCACAUUCAAGGAUUUCUCACGGGGAUUGCUGGAAGUCGACAUCUAGUCUGACCCGAACAUUGUACUUAUUCAACGGACUAAAACUUGCUCCGCCUCCUUCUAAACAAAUACCUUUUUUGGCACGCUUCAAACUUCUAAGAGUGUUGGCAAUCCUUCAAUAUACGUUUCGAGAAUUCCCUCUUGACAUAACCAAAUUAGUACAUCUCAGAUAUCUUGAAUUCAAUUGUAAUGAUGAUCUUCAUUGUUCAGUGUCAAAGCUUUAUAAUCUGCAACAUUUGAUUUUUGGCGGACAGUCCAAUUUACCAGUAGAGAUCUGGAAGAUGAAACCUUUGAGGCAUCUUGAGGUAAAAAAGAUCGCUUCUUUUUGUGUUCCAUCAAGUAAGGCAGUGUCUAGUUUCAUGUUACAAAAUCUUGAGGGACUUUCAGAUCUAAGUAUUUCCUGCUGUACUAAGGAAUUGUUUACUGGUAUUCCUAAUCUAAAGAGGCUGAAAAUUCAUGGGGCUUGGGCAGAAUGCAGCAGAGAUAUGAUCUCCCAGACGCUAAAUAGCCUUUCUUGUUUAAAUCAAGUUGAAAUAUUGAAGAUCGCAUGCUCCAGAAAAUUAUACCCACACCCACUCCCAAGUAAGUAUGCUUUGCCUACAUCCCUGAAGAGGUUGACAUUAAGAUGUACCUAUUUACCAUGGGAAGACAUGGCAAAUAUUGUAAUGUUGCCAAACCUCGAAGUGCUUAAAAUUAAAGACAAUGGAUUUGAUGGUGAUGUGUGGAGAUUAAGUGAUGAAGAGACUUUCAAUCAACUUAAGUUCCUCCUAAUCGAUAGGACAAAUCUGAAGCGCUGGGAAGCUGGCAGUGUUAACUUCCCAAAGCUGCAACACCUGGUUCUGAAAAGAUGCAUAUACCUUGAGGAAAUCCCUAAAGACAUACGGGAAAUUUAUACCUUGGAGUCAAUAGAGUUGCUUAAUUGCCGAACUUCUGCUGCGAAAUCCGUCAAAGAAAUUAAAGAAGAGCAAGAGAGCAUGGCAAAUGAUUGCCUUAGUGUCUGCAUCCAUGAGAAACCUUGUAAAACGACUCUUGCAAAAAUGGCAUAUGAUGAUCCUGAUAUCCGGGAUCGCUUUGACAUGCAUGUUUGGGUGACAAUAUCUCAAGAGUACAGAAUUCGAGAUUUGUUAUUAGGCAUUCUUUGUUAUAAUUCAAAUGAGAUCAAAGAAGAGACUGAUGAUCAAUUGAUGGAUAUGAUAUACAAAAAGUUAAAGGGUCGGAGUUAUCUUGUUGUCAUGGACGAUAUUUGGAGUAACGACGUCUGGGAUCUUAUGUCAAGAAAUUUUCCGGAUGAUAACAAGGGGAGUCGAAUUAUUCUGACUAGUAGGCUCAAAGGCCAAUACAUGCUGACCCUGACAGCCCGCCUCAUGAGGUAAGCCUCUUGAAUGCAAAUGACAGUUGGAAGUUACUUCAUGAGAAGGUGUUUGGGACACAACAGGUUUGUCCUCUUGAACUAGAGGAUAUUGGGAAGCAAGUAGCACAAAGAUGCCAAGGACUACCUUUAGCUAUUCUAGUGGUUUCGGGGCACCUUUCUAAAAUUGAAAGAACAAGAGAAAGUUGGGAAGAUGUUGCCAAAAGUGUAAGUAAAGUUGUUGCUAAUGAAUCAGAUAAAUGUCUAGGAGUGCUUGCUAUGAGUUACAAUUACUUACCUAAUCAUCUUAAACCAUGUUUCCUUUAUGUGGGAAUCUUUCCAGAAGAUAGUGAGGUAAACAUUAGGACAUUGAUAAACUUAUGGGUUUCUGAGGGUUUUCUAUGGGAAGAAUUAGGGGGAAGAGAUUGUUUGGAGGAUCUUGUUAGCAGGAAUCUGAUAAUGGUUAGAAACAGGAGAUUUAAUGGUGAGUGGAAAACAUGUGGUGUCCAUGAUCUAGUUCGUGACUUAAUUUUAAGAGAAGCUGAGAAAUAGAAGUUCCUGCAGGUUUGUAAAGAUCCUUAAGCAAAAAUGCUUCGUGUUCGUCGCUACAGUUUCCAUUCAGGCCUUUAUCAGGCUGAUUGCUUGGAGUCAUCAUCAAGAGAUCUCACCCGAACUGUGCACUUCUUCCAUGGAUUAUGUUUCAAACAAAUUCCUCUUUUGGCGUGCUUCAAACUGCUAAGAGUGUUGGCAGUCGUCCAAUAUGGGUUUCAAGAUUUCCCUCUCGUGAUAACAAAAUUAGUACAUCCGAGAUACCUUCAAUUAGGCUAUUGUGAUGAUCCUCACGGUUCAUUGUCAGAGCUUUAUAAUCUGCAGAACAUCAUUGUUCAAAGCCUGCGUAAUAAACCAACUAUGCAUGACACAAUUUGGUGAAUGAAACAUUUAAGGCAUCUUCUGGUGAAUGACUUAAUUUCUCUCCCUAAAACUCCAUCAAAUAAGCUGCAAAAUUUGGAGGGACUUUCCUGUCUAAGCUUGUCCAGGUGUACUUUUGAAUUGUUUUCUGCUAUUCCAAAUCUUAAGAGGCUUAAACUUCUUGGAAGUCAGAAGGAAUGCCAGGGUGAGAAGAUGUCCGAGCACCUAUAGCCUUUCCUGUUUAAAAAACUUGACGAAUUGAAGAUCAGGUGCAAAGGCCUAUACUUGUUCCCAAUCCCAUUAGAGGAGCUGAUCGUGCAAAUUAAAGGAAUGUGGGGUGGGUGUGAUGACUCUCAAGCAGUGGGAAGCAAUUUAUCACCCUUUGUUUGCUUAGAAGCGGAGAUCACUUGUAACUUGUUCCUUAUGAUGACUAGUUAUUGUUCUUUAUUUUUGUAAUUUUCUCUCAAGCUAGAUAUUAAUGACUGAAUGGUUUGUUAUCAUGAUGUAUUUCAUUAUGUUAUAAUUCUCAAUUUGAGUGAAUAUUUUAUGACUUUCUUACUA
Lycium barbarum (goji berry) is the source of this 5013-nucleotide RNA transcript. It is a transcript of the gene named putative late blight resistance protein homolog R1B-23, with no coding region annotated. NCBI's taxonomy places the organism in Eukaryota, Viridiplantae, Streptophyta, Magnoliopsida, Solanales, Solanaceae. The record is from RefSeq and is a predicted model, not a curated record. The transcript has 4 exons.